GGUUAAGUUAGAAAGGGCGCACGGUGGAUGCCUUGACACUAGGAGUCGAUGAAGGACGGGACUAACGCCGAUAUGCUUCGGGGAGCUGUAAGUAAGCUUUGAUCCGAAGAUUUCCGAAUGGGGAAACCCACCAUACGUAAUGGUAUGGUAUCCUUAUCUGAAUACAUAGGGUAAGGAAGACAGACCCAGGGAACUGAAACAUCUAAGUACCUGGAGGAAGAGAAAGCAAAUGCGAUUUCCUGAGUAGCGGCGAGCGAAACGGAACAUAGCCCAAACCAAGAGGCUUGCCUCUUGGGGUUGUAGGACAUUCUAUACGGAGUUACAAAGGAACGAGGUAGACGAAGCGACCUGGAAAGGUCCGUCGUAGAGGGUAACAACCCCGUAGUCGAAACUUCGUUCUCUCUUGAAUGUAUCCUGAGUACGGCGGAACACGUGAAAUUCCGUCGGAAUCUGGGAGGACCAUCUCCCAAGGCUAAAUACUCCCUAGUGAUCGAUAGUGAACCAGUACCGUGAGGGAAAGGUGAAAAGCACCCCGGAAGGGGAGUGAAAGAGAUCCUGAAACCGUGUGCCUACAAAUAGUCAGAGCCCGUUAACGGGUGAUGGCGUGCCUUUUGUAGAAUGAACCGGCGAGUUACGAUCCCGUGCGAGGUUAAGCUGAAGAGGCGGAGCCGCAGCGAAAGCGAGUCUGAAUAGGGCGUUUAGUACGUGGUCGUAGACCCGAAACCAGGUGAUCUACCCAUGUCCAGGGUGAAGUUCAGGUAACACUGAAUGGAGGCCCGAACCCACGCACGUUGAAAAGUGCGGGGAUGAGGUGUGGGUAGCGGAGAAAUUCCAAUCGAACCUGGAGAUAGCUGGUUCUCCCCGAAAUAGCUUUAGGGCUAGCCUUAAGUGUAAGAGUCUUGGAGGUAGAGCACUGAUUGGACUAGGGGUCCUCAUCGGAUUACCGAAUUCAGUCAAACUCCGAAUGCCAAUGACUUAUCCUUAGGAGUCAGACUGCGAGUGAUAAGAUCCGUAGUCAAAAGGGAAACAGCCCAGACCGCCAGCUAAGGUCCCAAAGUGUGUAUUAAGUGGAAAAGGAUGUGGAGUUGCUUAGACAACUAGGAUGUUGGCUUAGAAGCAGCCACCAUUUAAAGAGUGCGUAAUAGCUCACUAGUCGAGUGACUCUGCGCCGAAAAUGUACCGGGGCUAAAUACACCACCGAAGCUGCGGAUUGAUACCAAUGGUAUCAGUGGUAGGGGAGCGUUCUAAGGACAGUGAAGUCAGACCGGAAGGACUGGUGGAGUGCUUAGAAGUGAGAAUGCCGGUAUGAGUAGCGAAAGACGGGUGAGAAUCCCGUCCACCGAAUGCCUAAGGUUUCCUGAGGAAGGCUCGUCCGCUCAGGGUUAGUCAGGACCUAAGCCGAGGCCGACAGGCGUAGGCGAUGGACAACAGGUUGAUAUUCCUGUACCACCUCUUUAUCGUUUGAGCAAUGGAGGGACGCAGAAGGAUAGAAGAAGCGUGCGAUUGGUUGUGCACGUCCAAGCAGUUAGGCUGAUAAGUAGGCAAAUCCGCUUAUCGUGAAGGCUGAGCUGUGAUGGGGAAGCUCCUUAUGGAGCGAAGUCUUUGAUUCCCCGCUGCCAAGAAAAGCUUCUAGCGAGAUAAAAGGUGCCUGUACCGCAAACCGACACAGGUAGGCGAGGAGAGAAUCCUAAGGUGUGCGAGAGAACUCUGGUUAAGGAACUCGGCAAAAUGACCCCGUAACUUCGGGAGAAGGGGUGCUUUCUUAACGGAAAGCCGCAGUGAAUAGGCCCAAGCGACUGUUUAGCAAAAACACAGCUCUCUGCGAAGCCGUAAGGCGAAGUAUAGGGGGUGACACCUGCCCGGUGCUGGAAGGUUAAGGAGAGGGGUUAGCGUAAGCGAAGCUCUGAACUGAAGCCCCAGUAAACGGCGGCCGUAACUAUAACGGUCCUAAGGUAGCGAAAUUCCUUGUCGGGUAAGUUCCGACCCGCACGAAAGGUGUAACGAUUUGGGCACUGUCUCAACCAGAGACUCGGUGAAAUUAUAGUACCUGUGAAGAUGCAGGUUACCCGCGACAGGACGGAAAGACCCCGUGGAGCUUUACUGUAGCCUGAUAUUGAAUUUUGGUACAGUUUGUACAGGAUAGGCGGGAGCCUUUGAAACCGGAGCGCUAGCUUCGGUGGAGGCGCUGGUGGGAUACCGCCCUGACUGUAUUGAAAUUCUAACCUACGGGUCUUAUCGACCCGGGAGACAGUGUCAGGUGGGCAGUUUGACUGGGGCGGUCGCCUCCUAAAGUGUAACGGAGGCGCCCAAAGGUUCCCUCAGAAUGGUUGGAAAUCAUUCGUAGAGUGCAAAGGCAUAAGGGAGCUUGACUGCGAGACCUACAAGUCGAGCAGGGACGAAAGUCGGGCUUAGUGAUCCGGUGGUUCCGCAUGGAAGGGCCAUCGCUCAACGGAUAAAAGCUACCCCGGGGAUAACAGGCUUAUCUCCCCCAAGAGUUCACAUCGACGGGGAGGUUUGGCACCUCGAUGUCGGCUCAUCGCAUCCUGGGGCUGUAGUCGGUCCCAAGGGUUGGGCUGUUCGCCCAUUAAAGCGGUACGCGAGCUGGGUUCAGAACGUCGUGAGACAGUUCGGUCCCUAUCCGUCGUGGGCGUAGGAAAUUUGAGAGGAGCUGUCCUUAGUACGAGAGGACCGGGAUGGACGCACCGCUGGUGUACCAGUUGUUCUGCCAAGGGCAUAGCUGGGUAGCUAUGUGCGGAAGGGAUAAGUGCUGAAAGCAUCUAAGCAUGAAGCCCCCCUCAAGAUGAGAUUUCCCAUAGCGUAAGCUAGUAAGAUCCCUGAAAGAUGAUCAGGUUGAUAGGUUCGAGGUGGAAGCAUGGUGACAUGUGGAGCUGACGAAUACUAAUAGAUCGAGGACUUAACCAU
RNAcentral lists this ribosomal RNA (2922 nucleotides) under Bacillus cereus. RNAcentral describes it as "23S ribosomal RNA". It matches the Rfam family "Bacterial large subunit ribosomal RNA". The record is from RNAcentral. Lineage: Bacteria; Bacillati; Bacillota; Bacilli; Caryophanales; Bacillaceae.